UUUCCGUAGGUGAACCUGCGGAAGGAUCAUUAAUGAGUUGUCAUGGGGUUCGAUGCUGGCAGCCAAUUUUUGGAUGCAUGUGCUUGCCCUAACAAUCAUCUUCCAAACACCUGUGCACAUUUUUGAGGGAGUCUUGAGUUGGUUGCCGCUCUUGGGUGAUUUUCUCACAUUCCCUUAAAUCAUAAUACGCUAUUAACAAUGUUGAACGUGCUCUGUGCCGCAAGGCUAUUAAUAUAAUACAACUUUUAACAACGGAUCUCUUGGCUCUC
This 269-nucleotide unclassified non-coding RNA is filed under the name plant metagenome. Its description in RNAcentral is "partial contains small subunit ribosomal RNA, internal transcribed spacer 1, and 5.8S ribosomal RNA". The record is from RNAcentral.